This 480-nucleotide ribosomal RNA is filed under the name uncultured Blastocladiomycota. Its description in RNAcentral is "SSU rRNA". It matches the Rfam family "Eukaryotic small subunit ribosomal RNA", at positions 624 to 1108 of the family's 1831-position model. The record is from RNAcentral. Lineage: Eukaryota; Fungi; Blastocladiomycota.
AAGCUCGUAGUUGAAUUUCCGGUCUGGCUGGGUGGUCUUGCCGCAAGGUAAGCACUGCUCUGGUUGGGUCUUUCCUUCUGGGGAACCAGCGUGCUCUUAAUUGAGUGCACUGGGGAUCCAGGACUUUUACUUUGAAAAAAUUAGAGUGUUUAAAGCAGGCUUACGCUUGAAUACAUUAGCAUGGAAUAAUAGAAUAGGACUUUGGUUCUAUUUUGUUGGUUUCUAGGACCGAAGUAAUGAUUAAUAGGGAUAGUUGGGGGCAUUAGUAUUUAAUUGUCAGAGGUGAAAUUCUUGGAUUUAUGAAAGACUAACUUCUGCGAAAGCAUUUGCCAAGGAUGUUUUCAUUAAUCAAGAACGAAAGUUAGGGGAUCGAAGACGAUCAGAUACCGUCGUAGUCUUAACCAUAAACUAUGCCGACUAGGGAUCGGACGAUGUUAUUUUAUUGACUCGUUCGGCGCCUUAUGAGAAAUCAAAGUUUUU